This 1294-nucleotide long non-coding RNA is filed under the name Chrysemys picta bellii (western painted turtle). RNAcentral describes it as "lncRNA (ENSCPBG00000000924.1)". The record is from RNAcentral. Lineage: Eukaryota; Metazoa; Chordata; Testudines; Emydidae.
UGCAAAAGAAUUAAUAAUUUUUUCCCUAAAUUGUUUUCUUUUCAGUUCUUGCAUCUGCCAUAUUGUGAUUUUAGAAUCUAGUUCAGAAGUGACCAGUGUGAAGGUGUGAUUUAUCAAAUUAUUUUUUCAGGCAGUUGGAAUUUGCAGAAAUUCCUUGAGUCUGUAUAACAGUAGUGCAAUAAAAGUGGCUUUAACUACCUAUUUUUGUGUUUAGUUUUAGAAAACCUCUCCCCAGAGAUUCAGCUUGUCUAUAAAUUCAGUGAUAAUCUAAAAAAUAUGAAGCAAAAGAACGAGAUAAAUCCGCUGGCUCAUAAGAUGAGUGAAACUGAACAAUCUCAGUCUCUGCUCCGAUUUCACAUCGAUUAAAUGAUGAAGAUGACUCUCCAGAAAGAAGCCUACUGUCAAGUGCAGUUGUAAAAGAGACAUUAAUGGCUCCAAAGGAAUGGACACCACGGAAUGUAUUUCCAGGGGUUUUAAAAGAUUGUCAGAGUGCCACUAUGACCAUUACUGAGAUAGAUAUUACGGUAAAAGAUAAUUCUCUUGAGAAGUCUAUACCUGACUUUAUUUUAUCAUCAACAUCAGAGAAGAUUUCCAGGGAAACAUUAACUGUACAAAGUAUAAUGGGUGAUGAAUUUGAAAUUAGAGAUUUGCUGAAACCAUUCAGUGAUUCAGAGAGUCCAGAAAUGAUAAACCCCUUGCAUGACACGUUACAGUGUCAAGGUGAUGCUCUAUCUGUAGAUAUAUCAGUAGAUGAGAACAGCAAUGUCCUGCCAAUAGAGCUUCUGACAGCACUGAACUCCUUUUCAGAAUUUGUAGUACAGCCUGUCCGUCAAUUAGUAGGGAAGGAAAGAGAGCUUAAUGCUGAAGAAGAACAUGUGAGAUCAGAAUCCAGUAUUUUCCAGAUAGAUGACUGCACUCAAAUAACAGAUAACAGUUUUGAACCUCAAUUUUCUGUGAAGCAAUUGGAAGAAAUAAAAGCAUUAACAGAGGCUCCAUUUCAGUGUACUUUAGAUGAACAACUUGUAGGUAACCAGAAGAACCAGGAUUUGAUAAUUUCUGAUUAUUGCAAUGUCGCCUCUUAUGACAAACAAGCUGGUGAAGGAAAUUCCGGUUCAAUAGAGAAUACCUCGGGUAUAGAAACUACCAAAGCAACUUCUUGUAUAUUAAGGAGGUCAACUCGAUUAAGAGAAAACUGCACUAGAAAGCACAUAGAUGAAGCUUCCAGUUGUUAUAAAAUGCUAGAAGAAACUCACCAAAGAAUAUAUAGUAAUGACGAAGAAACAGGAAAUAAACU